GGGCCCGUAGCUCAGCUAGGUAGAGCAUCUGGCUUUUAACCAGGUGGUCGGGGGUUCAAACCCCCCCGGGCCCG
This 74-nucleotide transfer RNA is filed under the name Thermogymnomonas acidicola. It matches the Rfam family "tRNA". Rfam says of the family: Transfer RNA (tRNA) molecules are approximately 80 nucleotides in length. Their secondary structure includes four short double-helical elements and three loops (D, anti-codon, and T loops). The record is from Rfam by way of RNAcentral. RNAcentral also lists the same sequence under 3 other names. Lineage: Archaea; Methanobacteriati; Thermoplasmatota; Thermoplasmata; Thermoplasmatales.